Molecule: ribosomal RNA, 497 nt
Filed under: uncultured bacterium
Lineage: Bacteria
Description: partial 16S ribosomal RNA
Rfam family: Bacterial small subunit ribosomal RNA
Source: RNAcentral
GAUGAACGCUGGCGGCGUGCCUAAUACAUGCAAGUCGAGCGAACAGACGAGGAGCUUGCUCCUUUGACGUUAGCGGCGGACGGGUGAGUAACACGUGGGUAACCUACCUAUAAGACUGGGAUAACUUCGGGAAACCGGAGCUAAUACCGGAUAAUAUUUCGAACCGCAUGGUUCGACAGUGAAAGAUGGCUUUGCUAUCACUUAUAGAUGGACCUGCGCCGUAUUAGCUAGUUGGUAAGGUAACGGCUUACCAAGGCAACGAUACGUAGCCGACCUGAGAGGGUGAUCGGCCACACUGGAACUGAGACACGGUCCAGACUCCUACGGGAGGCAGCAGUAGGGAAUCUUCCGCAAUGGGCGAAAGCCUGACGGAGCAACGCCGCGUGAGUGAUGAAGGUCUUCGGAUCGUAAAACUCUGUUAUUAGGGAAGAACAAACGUGUAAGUAACUGUGCACGUCUUGACGGUACCUAAUCAGAAAGCCACGGCUAACUACGUG